UCACCGAGGCUAAGUUCAAGUACCUGAAGGGCCAGCCGAAGAAGCCGGCGUCCGCUCUCAAGAAGUUCAUGCUCAGCAACCUGGCCGCGGUGAAGAAGG
Molecule: non-coding RNA, 99 nt
Filed under: Mesodinium pulex
Lineage: Eukaryota; Ciliophora; Litostomatea; Cyclotrichida; Mesodiniidae
Source: RNAcentral